Molecule: non-coding RNA, 278 nt
Organism: Cyanistes caeruleus (blue tit)
Lineage: Eukaryota; Metazoa; Chordata; Aves; Passeriformes; Paridae
Source: RefSeq, a predicted model, not a curated record
AGGACCGAGUGUAUGUGCAACAAAACAAUGUGGAGAAUGUCUACAACUUGGGCCUGAUAAUUUUUCGAGAUCAAGUCGUACGUUACGGAUGCAUCAGGGAUCACCUGAGGCAAACCCUGCUGGAUAUGAUUGCAAGAGAGAGGAAAGGAGAAGUUGUAGACAGAGGCGCAAUAAGAAAUGCUUGCCAGAUGUUAAUGAUUCUAGGUCUUGAAGGAAGGUCAGUCUAUGAAGAAGACUUCGAGGCUCCAUUUUUGGAAAUGUCUGCAGAAUUUUUUCAG